This 574-nucleotide long non-coding RNA is filed under the name Mus musculus (house mouse). RNAcentral describes it as "RIKEN cDNA 1810013D15 gene". The record is from RNAcentral. Lineage: Eukaryota; Metazoa; Chordata; Mammalia; Rodentia; Muridae.
CCUUUGUCUGCAGGAUAGGGACGCAACCUCCAGCAGCCUCGCGUGGCCCCAGAGUUCCGGCAAGGGUCACGCAGGCAGAAAGGCUGUUGGAUUCCCCUGGAACUGCAUUUGGAAACAGAUGUGAUCUGCGUGUGGGAGAGAAAGCCAAGCCCUGGUGCUCUGGAACCAAUGCUCCUGCGGGCAAUGCUCUUGCUCCCUGAGCCAUCUCUAAAGACGAAUGUCCCUUCCACCCAGGAAUUUCUCUCUCAGACAUCAUCUGACCUGUGUGCAAAGCUGAGCAUGAGUGACUCCAUACCUCUCAGCUAGAAUAACGGAAAGCACUUAACUUCCCAUCCUUCAGAGUCCAACUAGCUAGAUCUAUGACAGACGCACAGAGUGGCCAAUGAGCAGAAGCACUGAAGAAAACAGACACAGUCUCCUGUUUCCAAGACAGCAAAGAGAACUGCAAAGGAGUAUGUGAAUCCAGGAGCACAUGCUGAGCUGCAUGCCUUUUAUGUUUGAUCUGACAUCUGAAACAACUGUGGUGGCAGAAACCACAGAUCUUCAGGAAAAAAUAAAUUCCUUAACAUUUCAU